AUUGAGCGCUGGCGGCAUGCUUUACACAUGCAAGUCGAACGGCAGCACGGGCUUCGGCCUGGUGGCGAGUGGCGAACGGGUGAGUAAUAUAUCGGAACGUACCCAGAAGUGGGGGAUAACGUAGCGAAAGUUACGCUAAUACCGCAUACGAUCUAUGGAUUAAAGCAGGGGACCGCAAGGCCUUGUGCUCCUGGAGCGGCCGAUAUCUGAUUAGCUAGUUGGUGAGGUAAAGGCUCACCAAGGCGACGAUCAGUAGCUGGUCUGAGAGGACGACCAGCCACACUGGAACUGAGACACGGUCCAGACUCCUACGGGAGGCAGCAGUGGGGAAUUUUGGACAAUGGGCGCAAGCCUGAUCCAGCAAUGCCGCGUGAGUGAAGAAGGCCUUCGGGUUGUAAAGCUCUUUUGUCAGGGAAGAAACGGUAGAGGCUAAUAUCCUUUGCUAAUGACGGUACCUGAAGAAUAAGCACCGGCUAACUACGUG
This 484-nucleotide ribosomal RNA is filed under the name uncultured bacterium. Its description in RNAcentral is "partial 16S ribosomal RNA". It matches the Rfam family "Bacterial small subunit ribosomal RNA", at positions 30 to 507 of the family's 1533-position model. The record is from RNAcentral.